UUCAUAUCAGCAGCUACAAGUCUUUUAAAUUUGAGGUUGAGCUUUUGAAAUUUGACACAACAUUUUUGAAACUUGAAAUUCUGCUUUUGAAAUUGGAGAGCCUAAAUGCUAACGUACUAUGGUAGGCUGUUUUAACAUUUGAUCAAAUUUCCGUUUAAACCUGACGCUGCCAGCCGAGGCGCCGGCCACACACGAGCCCGGACGGGACUAAAGGGGCUCAGAACCCCUAAAGACGGACCGAUGAGUGACAGGGCGCAGCUGCCGUCGGGUUUUCAUUCUGCACGUUGACAUUAUAAGGUCGUCAAGAACAGGAAAUGAGCGCUGAGGAUGUGACAUGUCACUUGACUUCUGUCAGGGCUGACACGCCGCGGCGACAGUUCGCUCUUGUCGCUCACACGAGUCACGUCACGAUGCUCGUCUGGCGCGGCGUCUUUCUUUGCCUUCUCCUCGGCAGGGCUCUGGCUCUGACGAUGACUCAAGACAAGCUCUCUAUGACCAAAGGACCCGGCAAGACCGUUCGAAUAGGCUGCAAGUCGGAUGGCAGCCCCAGCUACAUUCACUGGUAUCGACAGAAAGGCAGCGGAGAUUUGGAGCGAAUUUUGUACGUACAGACGAGCACAGGAGCCGAGAGCUACGACAUCGGAGACAGCGAAAGGUUCAAAGCUGACGACAAAGGCUUAAUUCUGCGUAUAGACAGAGCUGUGAAUGGCGACACGGCGACGUAUUAUUGUGCCGCAUGGGACAGCCACAGUGACGCAAACCACGGGGACCCCCUCACAAAAACAUCCGCCCGGUUAAACAAAGCUGCUGCUAAACCGAAUGGCCUUGUCCGCCUCAUAACGAACACACCCGGGUCGAUGAACGCCGCUCUUCUGAAACGAAUGGCAGCCUUGGAGGUGUCGGGAAUCCUUUGGUGCCCCGUGAACAGCGGGUAAUGGUGUGCCUUAUGCGCAUGCGUAGAAAGGAAACUCGAAAAGCAGCGCAGCGCGGACGAAACUUCUGCGUUAUUGAGGGUCGCGCUCGUGCCACGGGAAAGUGCUGACCACCGUGGAAAGGCAACGGGCAGCGGUGGUCUCGACAUUUGAUAAAAACACCGCAAAUGAUAAACGAAAAAAAAAAAA
Polypterus senegalus (gray bichir) is the source of this 1121-nucleotide non-coding RNA. The record is from the annotation of a RefSeq genome assembly. NCBI's taxonomy places the organism in Eukaryota, Metazoa, Chordata, Cladistia, Polypteriformes, Polypteridae.